Molecule: ribosomal RNA, 253 nt
Filed under: uncultured bacterium
Lineage: Bacteria
Description: partial 16S ribosomal RNA
Rfam family: Bacterial small subunit ribosomal RNA
Source: RNAcentral
CACGUAGGGUGCGAGCGUUGUCCGGAAUUAUUGGGCGUAAAGAGCUCGUAGGCGGUCUGUCGCGUCGGCUGUGAAAUCCCGAGGCUCAACCUCGGGUCUGCAGUCGAUACGGGCAAACUUGAGUGUUGCAGGGGAGACUGGAAUUCCUGGUGUAGCGGUGAAAUGCGCAGAUAUCAGGAGGAACACCGGUGGCGAAGGCGGGUCUCUGGGCAACAACUGACGCUGAGGAGCGAAAGCGUGGGGAGCGAACAGG